GAUGAAGAACGUAGCGAAAUGCGAUAAGUAAUGUGAAUUGCAGAAUUCAGUGAAUCAUCGAAUCUUUGAACGCACAUUGCGCCCUCUGGUAUUCCGGGGGGCAUGCCUGUUCGAGCGUCAUUAUAACCACUCAAGCUCUCGCUUGGUAUUGGAGUUCGCGAUCUCGCGGCUCCUAAAAUCAGUGGCGGUGCCUGUCGGCUCUACGCGUAGUAAUACUCCUCGCGAUUGAGUCCGGUAGGUUUACUUGCCAGCAACCCCCAAUUUUUACAGGUUGGCCUCGGAUCAGGUAGGGAUACCCGCUGAACUUAAGCAUAUCAAUAAGCGGAGGA
This 329-nucleotide unclassified non-coding RNA is filed under the name soil metagenome. RNAcentral's name for it is "partial contains 5.8S ribosomal RNA, internal transcribed spacer 2, and large subunit ribosomal RNA". The stretch from base 1 to 120 matches the Rfam family "5.8S ribosomal RNA", at positions 35 to 154 of the family's 154-position model. The record is from RNAcentral.